Molecule: non-coding RNA, 72 nt
Filed under: Musa acuminata subsp. malaccensis (wild Malaysian banana)
Lineage: Eukaryota; Viridiplantae; Streptophyta; Magnoliopsida; Zingiberales; Musaceae
Description: tRNA
Rfam family: tRNA
About the family: Transfer RNA (tRNA) molecules are approximately 80 nucleotides in length.
Source: Rfam by way of RNAcentral
UGGAGUAUAGCCAAGUGGUAAGGCAUCGGUUUUUGGUACCGGUAUACAAAGGUUCGAAUCCUUUUACUCCAG